RNAcentral lists this ribosomal RNA (99 nucleotides) under Sobralia abadorum. RNAcentral describes it as "partial 18S ribosomal RNA". It matches the Rfam family "Eukaryotic small subunit ribosomal RNA", at positions 1733 to 1831 of the family's 1831-position model. Lineage: Eukaryota; Viridiplantae; Streptophyta; Magnoliopsida; Asparagales; Orchidaceae. The record is from RNAcentral.
CCGCCCGUGACUCUGCGAGAAGUCCAUUGAACCUUAUCAUUUAGAGGAAGGAGAAGUCGUAACAAGGUUUCCGUAGGUGAACCUGCGGAAGGAUCAUUG